GUGUCAGCCGCCGCGGUAAUACAGAGGGUGCAAGCGUUAAUCGGAAUUACUGGGCGUAAAGCGCGCGUAGGCGGUUUUGUAAGUCGGAUGUGAAAGCCCCGGGCUUAACCUGGGAAUUGCAUUCGAUACUGCUUGACUGGAGUGUGGUAGAGGGAAGCGGAAUUCCGGGUGUAGCGGUGAAAUGCGUAGAGAUCCGGAGGAACAUCAGUGGCGAAGGCGGCUUCCUGGACCAACACUGACGCUGAGGUGCGAAAGCGUGGGGAGCAAACAGGAUUAGAUACCCCGGUAGUCC
RNAcentral lists this ribosomal RNA (292 nucleotides) under uncultured bacterium. RNAcentral's name for it is "partial 16S ribosomal RNA". It matches the Rfam family "Bacterial small subunit ribosomal RNA", at positions 505 to 796 of the family's 1533-position model. The record is from RNAcentral.